ACUUUGGAGUCGCCCAUAAAAAGGAGAGAGGGAAACUAUACAUCUUUUCCAUACUUAUGGCCUAGGUUGUCUCUCCUUUUCAGACUUAGUUAAGAAAAAAUUAAAUAUAUAUACGAAUUUUUUGUAAGUAGAAGGAACACCUCCUAUCACAUUAAAUAGGAGGUGAGUAUCUCUAACAGUUGGGAGAAGGACAUGCUGAGAUUUUUUCCUAUUACUAUUAUGGAUCUUUGGGACAGUUUCAAUUCCAUUUUCAACAGGACAAAGUCUGCUUGCAGAGGAGAAAUACCACGGCAGCUUGAUGUGCAAUUGGGACUUAACCUCAUACAAGACCCAAGAGUCCCCACGGAGGGCAUUCUCCAUGUGUUUCAACUUGGUGCAUCAUUCACCAAGCAUGUUCCCUCCGGAAAAGCAGGAGACCGCCCAAGCUUCCUGGGUAUCCUCCUGACUUAUCUAGGACUGAAUCUUGCAGUACUCUGAAGAAAACUGUGAUGUGAAAUACCACACAUUGCUUUCAUUAAUAUGUCACAUUAAAUCGAAAAUCUCAAAUCCAAAUCAAAAGUUGGAUCUCUUAACGUUGUUCAUACUUUAGGAAAGUCUGAGGGCUGGGAAUAAUCUUUCUCAUGGGCC
This 627-nucleotide long non-coding RNA is filed under the name Homo sapiens (human). RNAcentral's name for it is "non-protein coding lnc-CTAGE1-5:2". The record is from RNAcentral. Lineage: Eukaryota; Metazoa; Chordata; Mammalia; Primates; Hominidae.